GUGUUCACUUCGGCAGCACAUACACUAAAAUUAGAAUGAUACAGAGAACAUUAGCAUGGCUCCUGCACAAGGAUGACGUGUUUAAAAAAUUUUUUUUU
Pongo abelii (Sumatran orangutan) is the source of this 98-nucleotide small nuclear RNA. NCBI's taxonomy places the organism in Eukaryota, Metazoa, Chordata, Mammalia, Primates, Hominidae. The record is from Ensembl.